GUAUAUACUGUCAGGGUUUGAUGAUAUCUUAGACCUACGUAGACUCUACUAUAGAAAUGGAAGGUACUAGGAAAACCAAGAGUAGCAAAUGUGUGAAAGACGGUUAUUAAUUCACCAUUUUCUCUAGGUCAAUCUGUUACUUAUGCAUGUAUUUGCCCAAAUCUUUAUACACAUAUUUUGAAUUUUCAUCCAAAGAAGCAUUUUGAGAUUGUUUGUACCCACAGUGAUGUUAGGUAUCUCAAUGAGCACAAAUAUAAUAUCUUUAAAUUUGUGGACAUUGUCAUUUGAUUUUGAAGUAAAACAAUUAC
Molecule: long non-coding RNA, 308 nt
Filed under: Oryza brachyantha (malo sina)
Lineage: Eukaryota; Viridiplantae; Streptophyta; Magnoliopsida; Poales; Poaceae
Description: long non-coding RNA (OBRA_LNC003282)
Source: RNAcentral